UUGAUUACAAUAAGGCUUGGAGAUAGAGAACUUUUCACAUGAUUACCGCCUGUUAUUCCAACACACACGAACACACUCAGACUCAUUCAUUGUUGGAUGCUGCACUGUCUGUGUGAAACCUGAGCCGGGUAAAGCUAUAAUGGGCAGUAUGUUGAUGAUGUGAAGACUGAGCGAGCCGGAGAGGGAGUUUCCUAUGUAUUCUCUGAUCCACUUUUGAAUCUGUUAGGCAGUCUGUUUCGCUUUGAUCUUGGAGAAGCUAAAAGUGGGAAUGUAAAGGUAACAGCAGAUCGUGUGGAGGUUGGAAGUUCAUUCCACCACAGAUGAGCAGAGGAAGUGAAUGAUCAUGAAAUAGACUUUGAGCCUCUUUGUGAUGAGACCACCAGGAGUCCCUCGAUCAUUGAUUGCAGAGAGAGAGUUGGAGCAUAGACCUGAAGAAGUGAAAUGAAGUAAGCUGGUUUCACUGCAGCACUCUACAAGAGUUUUCUCUCUGAAACCCUCCUCCUCGCCAGCCCCACCUGUCUAGAUCUGCUUCAAGGGGAUUGUAUAAGACAGAAAAUCAUACAAGGAUGGAACGACAAGAGGAUGACUACAAAAUGACUACAUGUUUAGUGAACUAUCUGAUGUUGAAGAUGUUGAAAUGAUCGUUUAAAUCAGACAUUACUUCUUGCCACUGAGGUCAUUAUUCAAACUGUAAACAAGGAUGGGAUCAACAUCAGCCAAACAUUUAUACAUAUGGUGGAUAAUUAUAUCUAUGACUUUUGAGAAACAAACAAAUAUAAAUUUACGAUGACUGAUGUUCAAAUGCCAUAAUUAAACACAUAUGUUUAAUGAUUAAUCUUGCUUAAACAGUGAACUGAUGCAAUUUCUGAGUAGAACACUGCUCCCAUGUGUGUCUGUUGGCUGAAGCUUUCGUUCUGUGUGAAAUAGUUUUAUUCAAUGCAGAAGAGCAUUAAAGCUGAUGCGUGUCAUUUUUUCAAUGUUAAAUACUUUUUUCCUUCCCACCUUAGCUUGCAGAGACUAUAAGUAAUCAAUUCCUUUUGGCUGAUUCCCUUGAAAAGAGUAAACACUGUGGCUCUGUGGCACUAUGAGAAUAUUCAUUUGUUUGUUUGAGUUCAACCAAUGCUGUGAAUUUGGGGUGGAACAGUUUAGUGAUGCUGGUGACAGAAAUAUUACAUACUUCACCCUUGAACUUUGAAUUAUUAAGUCAACUGCAAGUUUUAAAAGACAAAAAAAUCACAACUGUGUUAAAUGCUAGUCUUUGUCAAGGUCAUCAUCAGGACCUGACCUCCAGUGCCUUCUGAGCUGACAUCAGUUUUAGUACACUACUGGCUCAGUUCAGCAGGAACAGGAGUGUGGCCCCUACGACAAAUCGGUGGUCAAAGAGUCCACAUACUAGAGCCUUCAAAUGGCAAUGGAAACCCCUUCUGCAGAACCUAUAAAUAAUGCCUAAGAAACAAGUAUUUGCUUGGUGUGUGCUUGUCCCGUUACUGAAUGUCCUCAAAUUCCUUGACCCUAAAUGAACCCAGACUGGUUUCCCAGAUGUAGAUUAAGCAGAGUCCCACACUGGAAAGAAUUUCCAGUGAGCAGGACUUGAGGUCAGGUUACUUGACAUGGUCACAUUUUAAUGACUUGUGAACAGUUUGAAAACAAACAAUGUACUUGUUACUUGACUUGGUCUUUUAUUUGUGUGAUUUAUAUUGCUUUCAUCUUAAUGAAAUGAAAUAAAGCAAACUUUAUUGGACUACAAAAUACUUAAUUGUACUAAACUGACUAUUAGACUACAAUGGCAAGAAAAAGUAUGUGAACCCUUUGGAAUUAGCUGAAUUCCGACAUUAAUAACAACAAUAACACACAAACAAUUAUAAUCUUUCGUGUCUUUUAUUUAACACAUCCCAUUAAACAUUCACAGUGCUGUGGAAAACGUUUACGGUAGCAGCGGAUUAGACCUGCACAAUGUUCGGAAGGAAUUUUGGACCAUUUUUCCACACUGAACUGCUUUAUCUCAGCCAUAUUCUUAGGAUGUCUGUGUGAACGGCUCUCUUGAAGUCAUUCCACAUCAUCUCUAUUGGGUUAAGGUCUUGGCUCUGACUCGGCCACUGCAAAAGGUGGAUUUGACUUUUUUUGAAGCCAUUCUGCAGUGAAUUUACUACGAUGUCUAGGGUCAUUGUCCUGCUGUAUCACUCAACAUCUACUGAGCUUCAUCUGGUGCACUGCCACCCUGACAUUAUCCGGUAGAAUAUCUUGGGAAUUCAUUUUUCCCUCGAUGAUGGCAAGCGGUCCCAAAUCAUGGUGCUCCUUCCACUGUACUUCAUUGUUGGAAAGAUGUUUUCAUAUUGGUAUACAGUGCCCUUUUUAUGCCACACAUAGUGCUGCGUGUUCUUCCCAAACAAUGCAACCUUCGUUUCAUCAGCCCGCAAAUUUUCCACUAUAGUUGUGGAAUGUCGAGGUGGUCUUUGGCAUACUUCAGGCAUGCAGCAAAUAUUUGUUGGAAAGGAGUGGCUUCCUUCGUAGUGCCCUGUCUGUUUAAUGUUUUCAGUAUAUUAGACUAUGAACAGAGAUGUUAACCAGUUCAAAUGAUUUCUUCAAGUCUUUAUCUGUCACUCUAUGUUCUCUUUUACAUCAUUGAGCAUUCUGCUGUGUGCCCUUUGUAUCAUCUUGGCUGAAUGGCCACUUCUAGGGAGAGUAGCCACAGUAAUAAAUUGUCUCCAUUUAUUUAGACAGUUUGUCUAAAUAUGGACAGAUGAAUAUCUAAGCUCUUCGAGAUCACUUUUUCACCUUUCCAGCUUCAUGCAAAGCAACAAUUAUUGAUCGUAGAUCGUCUGAGAUCUCUUUUUUUGCGAGGCAUGGUCCACAUUAGCAGAUGCUUCUUGUGAAUAGCAAACUCAAAAUUUUUGAGUGCUUUUUAUAAGUCAAAGUAGCUCUAACCCACACCUCCAAACUAAUUCAUUAAAUGAAUGCCAGGUUUGCAAACUUCUGACUCUAUUUAGCUUUUGUUGAUGUCAUUAGCAUAGGGGUUCACACACUUUUUCCAACCUACACUGUGAAUGUUUGAAUGAUGUAUUCAAUAUGUACAAGAACAAUACAAUAUUUCGCAUGUUGAAAGAGAUUGUGUUUGUUUAUUAUUGUAACUUAGAUGAAGACCAAACCAGAUUUUAAGAAUUUAUACAUAAAUGCAGGUCAUCAUUGUAUAUAAUUGUUGCUCCAUUUAAGACAUAAAAAUAAACAACUAAAAUACACUGUAAACAUGUUUUGUAAAGUAACCUAAAAAUGUGCUUCAUGUAGUAACAUCAACAUAUUUGACUGAAUUUACUUGACAAAUGAAAUUACACCAACAAAAGGGAUUUUAUUAGUGAGAUCAAGUAGAAAGAGAUCCUUAAUAUAAUAAAUCCAGAUGAUCACAUUUUAAUUUUGUUAUUUGAUUUUUGAAGUUUGAUAUCUGAACAUAUAUUAGUUAAACUAUUAUUAAACUGUAUUAUACAUGUUUUGUAUAUUAUGCAAAAAAUAUAUAUUCUUCAUAGUGAUAAUAUGCCAGUGUUGAAGAAUACUAUGAAGAAUAAAAAAGAACCUAAAUGGCCUUUUUCUGCUGUUUUCAAUAUAAUAAUUAUAAUUCUUUAUAUAAUUAUAGUAGUAAGCCAGUGUCAGAAAUGCACUAUUUUAUUAAGGGGCAAUUUUUGCCUGUGGAUCUGCAUUUUUAGCUUUAUGAGGACAUUUUUUUUCUAAUCGUAUAAAAACACAUUGUGUGUCUGUCGUCCUUUCAUGUAAAAUACCUACAUUUAUCAAAUGUAUUACAUCAAAUUCUGAAUCUGUGUAGUUAGGCUGUUACCUAUAAAAUUAAAUCAGCAUUAGCAUCAGCAUUAACUCAUAUGAUAUGUUAAUAUGUAUAACUAUUUGUAGAAUAAAGUAUUAGGCCAUAUUUCAGGUGUUAAAAUUAUUAUUAUUUAUUUUAUUUAUUUAAUAUUAUUAUUAUGUUUUUUGGCAUAUUUGCCUUGAAAAAAUAUACAUUUCUGAAUAUUUACUGCCUUUAUUUUGGCAGAAUGCAUUGCAGUUGAUGUGUUUAUUUUA
Molecule: long non-coding RNA, 4062 nt
Organism: Xyrauchen texanus (razorback sucker)
Lineage: Eukaryota; Metazoa; Chordata; Actinopteri; Cypriniformes; Catostomidae
Exons: 4
Source: RefSeq, a predicted model, not a curated record